GUGAAUCAUCGAAUUUUUGAACGCAAAUUGCACUUCUUGGUAUUCCGAGGAGUAUUCAUGCUUGAGGGUCUGUUAAAAGAAUUGUGCAUUAGUGAUGUUUCGGAUUUGGUAUUAAGCUUUUAUUAAUUGGUUAUUUAAAUUUAAUAUGGAUAUGUAAUGUGAAGCGUACUAAUUAUGUAUUUGCUAUUCAUUUAUAUUUAUUACAUUACAACUAUACGAACGUAAUUAGUUUGUGUUUAC
Molecule: unclassified non-coding RNA, 240 nt
Filed under: Gigasporaceae sp.
Lineage: Eukaryota; Fungi; Glomeromycota; Glomeromycetes; Diversisporales; Gigasporaceae
Description: partial contains 5.8S ribosomal RNA and internal transcribed spacer 2
Rfam family: 5.8S ribosomal RNA (bases 1-71)
Source: RNAcentral